UUCAAAAAGGACAUAUAAAUAUAAAAAGGAAUUAGAUUUCAUUGCAAGAAAAUCAACGAAAUUGAAAGGAAACAAAAGGUUAACGCUUUUCGGGGAAAAAAUCUCUCGACUAACCUGAGAAAACACAACAACAAAAGAGAGGAGGGGUUCAUUUUGUAUAUGAAGCAUUUGCUUUUUUUUUUCCCAAGGCGAAGCCCGAAGGAGGAAGAACAUGAGAGGCGCGUACAAUGCUCCCCACCCCAGGCCCCAUCCAUCAGUAAACAAAACAAAGAUGACUUCGUUUGCGAAUUGCAGUACUUGCAACUAAACUUUACAAUUAUUAUCUUCUCUAACGGCUAUAAACUCUAGUGUCUACAUAGCUUAACUUGGUUUAUUUUUUGGUGUCAUAUAAUCCAUCACUACCACAAAUCCACAAUAAUAAUCCAAGAUUGUCCUCUUUCCCUCCAACGGUUCACUUCCUACGUACAAAUCAUCCUUAAUUUCCAUCUCUUUCCAUUACCAAAAAUCUCUCCUCCUUUUUUCCCGUCAACAAGGAGAACCGACGCAUCUUUCCCCUGCUUUGCUUCGAAAAUGGAGGGCGGUGCUGCUGCUGCUACUGCGAAAGUCGAGCAUAUAACAAAGGCCUCCUCCGUUGAGCUGCUGAGCAAGUUUGCUCAAGUGAGUUCCAAGAGCAACAAUAAUAAACUUGCUCUACCUCUUGUUAAGAAGAAGAAUAAGAAUUUGCGUUUGUCGACGAAACGUCAGAAAAUAAAUAGAGAGAAACCGGACGGGACUAACUACGAGAGUCUAUUGAACAAUUGUGCAGCCGAUAGGAAAUCACUUCUUGCUCCUGCUGCCAACCGGAAAUCCACUGCCUCGAUCCGCUUAGCGAAGGCCAGGAAUCUCAAGAACAAGUCCCUUCUGGGAAGUCUUCAAAAGACAUGGCGUAAAACGGUGGAAGGGGCUUCAAAGAUCUUCAUAGAGAGACAUUACAAUCGGCACAAGCGCUUAAUUAGUGACCUUGCAUGAGUCCAGUUACAAUCUCUGUGGCAAACAGUCGUCGUUAACAUUUGUUCAAUACUUGUUAUAUUGCAAAUAGACAUUAUAGUAGUGGAUUUGUCUCUAGUUCCUGCAAAUACAUUUGUGAAUCGAAUAUGAACAAAAUAAAUUCUGUGAAAUCACCUUGACAAAAAAAGUUAUGAACGAUUUUUUAAUUAAUGUAUUAA
Long non-coding RNA from Daucus carota subsp. sativus, 1205 nucleotides. RefSeq lists it as uncharacterized. The record is from RefSeq and is a predicted model, not a curated record. The transcript has 2 exons. Lineage: Eukaryota; Viridiplantae; Streptophyta; Magnoliopsida; Apiales; Apiaceae.